Lampris incognitus (smalleye Pacific opah) is the source of this 1066-nucleotide long non-coding RNA. RefSeq lists it as uncharacterized. The record is from RefSeq and is a predicted model, not a curated record. Lineage: Eukaryota; Metazoa; Chordata; Actinopteri; Lampriformes; Lampridae. The transcript is spliced from 3 exons.
GUCAGCUGUAACAGCGAGGAGUGAGUGAAAACUUAGACAUAACACAAGAACUGGCUGGCCAGAGAGAGCACUGGAGAGAGCGCUGGAGAAGAACGGUUUAGCCUAGGAGAGAAUCGCUGGCAUUACAACGGAUAGAGCCCCUGCCAUGAUUGGGAGAAAAUCUGGCCUCACCACACUUGUAUCCCAAAAGGUCAGUGAAGGUUAGGUGGCUGAGCCGUGGAAAAGUCCUUAAGAGAUUUUUUUGAUCUGCAUCAUGCAAUCAGAGAUGUUCUCGCCAGUAAGGACAGUGAUACUGAAGUACCCUCGGAUGAGGGUGACCUGACCUGGCUUUUCUGGUGGACAUCACAGACCUGCUCAAUGUGUUGACUGUUCAGCUUCAGGGAAGGGAGCAGAUCGUCACACAGAGGUGUGACUACGUCAACGCCUUCAAGCUGAAACUUCAGCUACUCUGUCGACAUCUGACAGCAGGGAAUUUGGCACACUUUCCCAGCCUCAGUGAAGUAGACAUUGUGGAAGAGAGUCUGUCUGAGUAUGAUACACCUCUCAGCAACCUAGCCCAGGAGUUUGACAGACACUUUGAGGACUUCAGGGACAGUGCAGUUUACGUGGAAGGUUUUUUUCCCCCAGCCCUUCACCAUCAGUGUGGACUCAGUCAGUGAUGAACUUCAGAUGGAACUGAUUGACUUUCAGUGUGACUCAGAGCUCAAAAAGAAGUUCAACUGUCUCAUCUACAGGACUUCUACAAAUGUGUCCCAGCAGACAGGUAUCCAAAGAUAAGGAAACAUGCCCAGAUGAUGUUCUCCCUUUAUGGUAGCACCUACAUCUGUGAACAGACUUUCAGUCUCAUGAACCUGAACAAGACUAGGCUCAGAAGUUCCCUUACUGACACCCACUUGCAGAGUAUCCUCACCCUGCCAGUGAGUCAGCUGCAGCCUAACAUUGACCGACUUGUAAAAAGCAAGGACCAGCUUGUAUUUCACUAGUGGUGCUCUCUGAUAUUGCACUGGAUGACUGAAGUUAAGCAUCAAAUUAUGUUAUGUUUACUUCUGGCUCUGCUUGUUUGAAA